AUCUUCGGGGCGGGGUGAAAGUCCCCACCGGCGGUAGAGUCCGCGAGCUGAAUAGCAUGAGCCGGUGUGAUUCCGGCACCGACAGUUACAGUCUGGAUGAUAGAAGAU
Molecule: non-coding RNA, 108 nt
Filed under: uncultured Dysosmobacter sp.
Lineage: Bacteria; Bacillati; Bacillota; Clostridia; Eubacteriales; Oscillospiraceae
Description: FMN riboswitch (RFN element)
Rfam family: FMN riboswitch aptamer (RFN element)
About the family: The RFN element is a highly conserved domain that is found frequently in the 5'-untranslated regions of prokaryotic mRNAs that encode for flavin mononucleotide (FMN) biosynthesis and transport proteins. This element is a metabolite-dependent riboswitch that directly binds FMN in the absence of proteins.
Source: RNAcentral